UGACCCUGCCAUCUGCUCCAUUCACAGCCUGGCCUCCUCCAUCCUGAGACAGGGUCCUUGACUUCAGCUUUGCCUUCCUGCUGGCUCAAGCAUCCUGGGUGUUUAACUGUCAAGUGCAAAAUGUCUCCUGGUCCAGGAAGACACUGAUACAGUCAGGGAUUUGACCACUGGGAACAAGGCAAAAGUCCACUUAAUGGUACUGAUGUUCAGAGUUCAAAGAGGCUCAUAAUCACAAAACUGGGACAUCUCCUAGAGUCAAAAGAAAACCACUGCAACAGACUCAUUGAAGAAAAUGACAAGUAUCAAAGACAUUUAGGCAACUUAAUAAAGAAGGUUACAUCAUAUGAAGAAAUCAUUGAAUGUGCUGACCAAAGGCUUGCAAUAUCCCACUCCCAGAUUGCACAUUUGGAAGAGAGAAAUAAACAUUUAGAGGAUUUAAUUAGAAAGCCCAGAGAAAAAGCCAGAAAACCAAGAUCAAAAAGCUUAGAAAAUCAUCCGAAGUCCAUGACCAUGAUGCCAGCUCUUUUUAAAGAAAAUAGAAAUGAUUUAGAUUAAACAAGCCUGAAGAUUAAACAGUAAUCAUUUUUGUCAACCACUCCAGGAAGAGUCAUUACUACAUAUGCUAGCCAAAUCAAUCCAUGCAGAUGAUAUAUUAAAAUCUGUAUAAAGGGUAAAGUCUUACAUUCCAAAGAUGUGAUUACUUUUCUUCUAAUUUCUUCCUGUG
Molecule: long non-coding RNA, 724 nt
Filed under: Homo sapiens (human)
Lineage: Eukaryota; Metazoa; Chordata; Mammalia; Primates; Hominidae
Description: HSALNT0332163
Source: RNAcentral